AACCAAAGCAAGUCCCCAACUUUGUCGAACUCAAAUCCAACCUCAGCACAAAUCCUAGAACCUCCAUAUCUAUCAAUCAAGCAAACUCUUAGAAACCAUAUUAAGUUACAGAAACACAGUGAGACCAAUCAACCAAAAGCAACACAUCAACAGUUCCCUCAUUCAGAUUCUGAAAGCUUCCAACCAGAUAAAACUUAAAGCUACAGCAUACACAAAGAAAGCCCCAUAAUUAGUACUACAGAGAGCUCAGAAAGAACACUUAACAAAGACUCCUAGGAAUCUAAAAUUCUGAAACUUUACCUCAAAAGAGUGCAAGAAGAUUGAAGGGGGUUCUUAUAAAAAAGGAAUCUUUACACCAAAAGAAACCCCCCCCCCCCCCCAACUGGAAUUCAACCUAGCAAGAUCCUAAAACUCCAUAGCCAUCAAUCUCAAACUACAGAAAACCCAGAAAGAACACUUAAUAAAGCAAGCUAUUCCGAAUCAAAAGCUCAAUGACUUCCCAUCAAAAGAGCUGCAAGAAGACUACAUUACACUCCAAAAACUUAGUACAGCUCUGAAUUCAACUCAGCACAAUCCCAGACACUCCACAGCCAUCAAUCCAAAACCACAGGAAAACCCCAGAGAAAGAAUCAAACUUUACCUGAAAAGAGUGCAAGACGAUGGAAAGGGGUUUGUCAAGAAGGAAUCUCCGAAUAAUAAAAACCCCAGCAGGGAAACCAACCCGUCGUCAAUCAGAGACAGUUAGGUGGUGGAGAGUGCUGAAAAAUAAAAAGGGUCUGAUCUUUUGCAGAAAGUAGGGAAUGAGUGAGAAAAGAGAGAGCACACGUUUAGCAGGAAGCCAAAAGAACGUGUUCCCUAAGGGGGGUAAGGGAUGAUAGAUAGAAGUGAGAGCUACACCCAACGCUAUAAUCGCUGCACAAGUAUGGGACGACUCUCUGUGUUACUCCCUUCUGCCAGCAAGACGUUAUGCAAACAUAAUAAUUUGAAAUGCAACUUGACUUGGACUGUGUAUUAAAUGACCAAGAAAUCUCGAGUCUUCCCCCCAAAAAAAAGUCUCCAGGGCGAAGAGCUUAGAUUCAGACUCCUCGCUGUCUUUCUUUCUUUCUCUAGCUAAGCUCCGUUGGGAUCUGUUAGAUGUCUCAGUGGGUUAAGGAAAAGGGGAAACUUUGGCAAAGAAACAACUAGACUUCUGGGAUUUUGGUCUUCUUUUCUUUCUCAUUUGCCUUUUCUGUUUAGU
Molecule: long non-coding RNA, 1237 nt
Filed under: Linum usitatissimum (flax)
Lineage: Eukaryota; Viridiplantae; Streptophyta; Magnoliopsida; Malpighiales; Linaceae
Description: long non-coding RNA (LUSI_LNC002446)
Source: RNAcentral